GUUUACCUGGGGCCGAGCAGACUAUGGUCAGCUAGGGAGGAAGUUGGAGACUUAUGAAGGCUGGAAACUAGAAAAGCAAGAUUCAUUUCUCCCCUGUUCAAGACCACCGAACAGCAUGCCUUCAUCUCCGCAUUGCUUAACUGGAGCAACUGAGGUCUCUUGUGGCUCAGAGCAUAAUUUGGCAAUAAUUGGUAACUGAGCUGGCCUCCCUGCCCGGGAAGUGGCAUUCGAGCAUAUUAAAGAACUCAGGCUGAGGGGCAUCAUGUGUAGAAAGCCAGACAUAAAAAGGAAGAAUGAUUGGACUGCUUCUGGUUUUUCAAAUAAAUCCCCAUUCUAAGUU
RNAcentral lists this small RNA (340 nucleotides) under Pan troglodytes (chimpanzee). RNAcentral's name for it is "processed transcript". The record is from RNAcentral. Lineage: Eukaryota; Metazoa; Chordata; Mammalia; Primates; Hominidae.